UUUAAUUGAAGAGUUUGAUCAUGGCUCAGAUUGAACGCUGGCGGCAGGCCUAACACAUGCAA
RNAcentral lists this ribosomal RNA (62 nucleotides) under Vibrio cholerae. RNAcentral's name for it is "partial 16S ribosomal RNA". The record is from RNAcentral. RNAcentral also lists the same sequence under 7 other names. Lineage: Bacteria; Pseudomonadati; Pseudomonadota; Gammaproteobacteria; Vibrionales; Vibrionaceae.